AAGCCGUAACAAGGUUUCCGUAGGUGAACCUGCGGAAGGAUCAUUACAGAGAACAUCGCCCUCACGGGUGACUCUCCAACCCUAUGUUAUUGUACCUUUGUUGCUUUGGCGAGACGCUUCGGCCACCGGCUCACGCUGGUGAGUGCUCGCCAGAGGACCCCAAACUCUGAAUUAUUAGUGUCGUCUGAGUACUAUAUAAUAGUUAAAA
RNAcentral lists this unclassified non-coding RNA (208 nucleotides) under plant metagenome. RNAcentral's name for it is "partial contains small subunit ribosomal RNA and internal transcribed spacer 1". The stretch from base 1 to 46 matches the Rfam family "Eukaryotic small subunit ribosomal RNA", at positions 1786 to 1831 of the family's 1831-position model. The record is from RNAcentral.